RNAcentral lists this ribosomal RNA (433 nucleotides) under uncultured bacterium. RNAcentral's name for it is "partial 16S ribosomal RNA". It matches the Rfam family "Bacterial small subunit ribosomal RNA", at positions 29 to 507 of the family's 1533-position model. The record is from RNAcentral.
AGCGAACGCUGGCGGCAGGCCUAACACAUGCAAGUCGAACGAACACUUCGGAGUUAGUGGCGGACGGGGGAGUAACACGUGGGAACGUGCCCUUAGGUUCGGCAUAACUCAGGGAAACUGGUGCUAAUACCGAAUGUGCCCUACGGGGGAAAGAUUUAUCGCCUUUAGAGCGGCCCGCGUCUGAUUAGCUAGUUGGUGAGGUAAAGGCUCACCAAGGCGACGAUCAGUAGCUGGUCUGAGAGGAUGAUCAGCCACAUUGGGACUGAGACACGGCCCAAACUCCUACGGGAGGCAGCAGUGGGGAAUCUUGCGCAAUGGGCGAAAGCCUGACGCAGCCAUGCCGCGUGAAUGCUGAAGGUCUUAGGAUUGUAAAAUUCUUUCAACGGGGACGAUCAUGACGGUACCCGGAGAAGAAGCCCCGGCUAACUUCGUG